AUUUCCAACAUUUGAUUUCCAGAACUUGAGGUUUCGCGGCAAAGACUCGAUUUUGGUUGGAAUUUUCAGGAAAUUAGGGUUUUUGAGCUCGAUCUGAUUCGAUAAUUCUUGAAUUAGGGUUUCUUUUCCAGAAUUGUGGGUUUCUUUAUGGAAUUUUUAUAGAAUUUUUAGAUCCUAGACGCCUUUAUUGUGAGGUGUGAAUUGAAUACUGCAUCUGUAUCAUCUAUUCUGGUAUAAUUUUUUUUUUUUAAAGUCCUUGUUCCCAAUUUUAAGCCAAACCGUUCUUGUUUCAAUCGAUGGCUCUCAAGACCGAAACAUUAUGAGAAGUGAUCAAUAGAUUUUUUGACGAUGGAACUGAUGUACUUGUAUCGAGAUAUUGCAGUGUUGUGGAUACCAUACUAGGAUAAGUUAGGUUUCACAUGUGCUAUGUGAAGCAUUUGCCAAAAAAAAUAAACAUGAAUGGUGAAUGCUGAGUAAAUUCUUGUUUGCUUCUUUGUUGAAGCUUGGAUUGCUUCUUCUUUAUCGGGGAUGGCUGAUGAUUCUGUAAGGAAAGAGCCACUUGAUGUUGAUGCUGAUGUUAAUGAAGCAAAGGAUACUCAGCUGAAUGGGAAUAAUACACCACCUGUAGGUGAUAAAACAUCUCAGGAGCUGCUGCUGAGUGUAUCCCCCACUAAGGAAUCCUUACAGGGUGAGGAUAACGACGAAGUAAUGACUGUUGAAGAUAAUGGUCAUGAUAUUGAGAAAAAGGAUGCCGCUGAGGUUGAAGGGGAUCAUGAAGCAAAUGUAGGGGAUGACAAGACACCUCGGGUUGGGAUGGUUUUCAAAUCAUAUGAUGAAGUUUCUAGUUUCUAUAAGCAGUAUGCUCUGCAUGAAGGCUUUGGUGUAGCUGUAAGAAAGUCACAAUUUACAAAAUCUGGAGUAUGUAGAAGGUUGAUACUUGCAUGUUCCAAGGCAGGCCAUGGCCGACAAGAUGCCUGCUAUCAAGCUAGACAGACUGCGAAAACAAACUGUCAGGCGAUGAUUGUAUUAAAAUUACAGGGUGAUGGCUUGCUUCAUUUGGCAGAAGCUAAUCUUGAGCAUAAUCAUCCAGUCAGCCCGUCAACAGCACGUUUCUUGAGCUGUUAUAAGAAAAUGACUGAUGCAAUGGCAGAAGGACCUGUUGCAUGGCCAAAUGGACAUAGAAAUGUUCAGUCUGAGAGUGAACUCAGAAGCUCUACCGAGAUAGGGCGAUUGAAGCUUGGGGAAGGAGAUGAUGAAGCUAUUUGUCAAUUUUUUACAGGCAUGCAAAACAAGAAUCCAAAUUUCUUUUACUUAGUAGAUGUAGACAAGCAUGGUCGUUUGAGGAAUCUGUUUUGGGCUGAUGCCAGAUCUAGAGCAGCAUAUCGAUACUUUGGUGAUGUCAUUUCCUUUGAUACAACCUACUUAACUGAAAAAUAUGAUUUGCCUCUUGUUUUGUUCGUUGGUAUGAACCAUCAUGGACAAUCAGUGCUGUUGGCAUGUGGUUUAGUUUCAGAUGAAACAAUUGAGACCUAUAUUUGGUUAUUUAAGGCAUUCCUAACAUGUAUGCUAGGGUGCUUUCCAACUGCUAUCAUCACUGACCAUUGUAAGGCCAUACAGGGUGCAGUUGUGGAGGUUUUUCCUGGAGUUAGACAUCGUCUAUGCAUGUUUCAUGUAAUGAAAAAGAUUCCAGAGAAAUUGAGGGGUUUUGCUGAAUUUAAAGCAGUCAAGAAGGCAAUAAAAAAGGCAUCAUAUGACUCUUCAAGAGUCAAUGAGUUUGAACAAGAUUGGCAAAAAAUGACCAAGGUACAUGGUCUCGAAGGUAAUGAAUGGCUUGACUCAUUAUAUGAAAACCGGCACCUAUGGGUGCCAGCUUAUCUUAAAGAUGCCUUUUGGGCAGGAAUGUCCAUUUCUCAACGUGGUGAGAGUACAACUGCCUUUUUUGAUGGGUGUAUAUAUCCAAAAACUAAUUUAAAGCAGUUUCUCAAUAAAUACGAGAUGAUCGUACAAAGUAAGUACAAAAAGGAGGCACAAGCAGACUCAGAAUCGUUUCAUAAGACUCCACUCACCAUAUCGAAAUUUUACAUGGAAGAACAGCUCUCCAAAUUGUACACUGUUAACAUGUUCCGGAAAUUUCAAGAUGAGCUAAAAGCCACUAUGUAUUGUGAUGCUUCACCAAUAAAGGUUGAUGGAUCACUUAUUACCUUUGAAGUUAGAGAGUGUUCAUAUAUGGAAGAUGGUAAAAGGACAGAGAAGAAGGAUCAUGAGGUUCUAUAUGAUGAAGAUAAAGUUCAAGUGCAAUGCAUUUGUGGAUCAUUUCAGUUCAGGGGCAUUUUAUGCAGACAUGCUCUAUCUGUUUUCAAGUUGCAGCAAGUGUUUGAGAUUCCAUCUCAUUACAUUCUUGAUCGUUGGAAAAAAGACUAUAAACAAUUACAUGCUCUUGCUCAUCCUUCGCAUGACAUGCUACCUGAUAAUAUAAUGGAGCGUUAUGAUUAUCUAUCCAUGCGCUGCCUUCAGCUUGCUGAGCUAGGGUUCUUAUCUGAUGAUAGGUUCCAGGUUGCAUUGAAGUUGAUAAGAGAGGUAGAGAAGUCUCUUUUAGAUGAUGGCUCGUGCAGAGACAGGCAACCUUAUAUUCUAUCUUUUGAAACUCAGCCAAAUGAACAUGUUCAAAACCUAUUGGUAUCACAACUGGGUGUAUCUGACAGCAAUAAGAAUUCUAACUCUUUGCAAGCGAGACGGAGAGGUCGGCCACCAAAAAAAGGGAGAGAACCCCAAGUAGAGUCAUUAGUUCAAUUGAGUAAGGAACAGGAUUUUCUAAGAUCAUCAUUAGUUGGCAAUGAAAACAAUAUGCUUCAAUCUGCUCCACUUGCUUCGCAUCUUGACACUCAUAUAGGGACACAAGGAGGAAUUGAUCUAAUGGAAGAAGUUCCCCCAGAUGACUUGUCAUUUGGCAGUCGUUUCAGCAUCCAUGUUAAUCACCAGCAUCAUAUGGGCAAUCAAACAAGGCUGCAGUCAAGCAAUUUGCUGCAGGGUCAGUAUGACCAUCAAACAGUUGGAAGUCAGUCAAGGGUGCAGUGGAUUUAUCAACAAAUGUUUCAGGGAUUUUAUAAACAUGAUACAAUUGCAGGAGGAUCAGAUGCCAAACGCACAUUCUGACCGAAGGAGGUAGAGGAUGUGGGUUUAAGUUGCAAAAUGCAAACCCAGGUGAGCACACAAAUCCAGCAUUUAUGCUCUAAGGAACGUGCACAUGCAAAGGCUUUUUGAGAAUAUCUCUAUGGAACACUUAUCUUCUGGUUUAAAGGCUGAGGAGGAAAAGAUGGGAAAACUCGGUGAAGAUGUUUAACGAUAAGGAAUAUGACCCUCAGGAUUUGUGCACCGACAUUCCUGCUUGCUGAUGGUGUUCAGCAGCGUGGCCAACCUCUAGUUCCCAAGGAGUCUGGAUUGAACUUCAGGAAAUUCAGAACCAGUUGCCACUGAAAGAUAUAAUGGUAGAUAAGCUAACUAAGAGAUACAAGUUAGAGGCUACACUUUGCAACUGAAAUAUUCAAUAACAAUGCAGCAGGAAGCAUUUGCAUAGAAAAUGCCUAUUUACUGACUCAGUUUCGUUAAUCUUACCUUCUUCUUCUUCUUCUUCUUCUUUUGAGUAUGGCAACAUGCUUAGCUCUGAUCUUAGCCAGAAUGAUUUAUCAUUGUAUCUUUGAAAUGGUUGUCUUCAAUGUGAAGAUGAUAUGUUCUUACAUUUAUAUAUAUAUAUAUAUUUGUGAUUAAUAUUCAUGAAAUGCACAGAACAGUAUUAUA
Molecule: non-coding RNA, 3795 nt
Organism: Elaeis guineensis (African oil palm)
Lineage: Eukaryota; Viridiplantae; Streptophyta; Magnoliopsida; Arecales; Arecaceae
Source: RefSeq, a predicted model, not a curated record